This 165-nucleotide ribosomal RNA is filed under the name Symphyotrichum subulatum. RNAcentral describes it as "5.8S ribosomal RNA". It matches the Rfam family "5.8S ribosomal RNA". From Rfam's summary of the family: 5.8S ribosomal RNA (5.8S rRNA) is a component of the large subunit of the eukaryotic ribosome. Lineage: Eukaryota; Viridiplantae; Streptophyta; Magnoliopsida; Asterales; Asteraceae. The record is from RNAcentral.
CAAACGACUCUCGGCAACGGAUAUCUCGGCUCACGCAUCGAUGAAGAACGUAGCAAAAUGCGAUACUUGGUGUGAAUUGCAGAAUCCCGUGAACCAUCGAGUUUUUGAACGCAAGUUGCGCCCGAAGCCAUUCGGUYGAGGGCACGUCUGCCUGGGCGUCACGCA